ACUCCUACGGGAGGCAGCAGUGGGGAAUAUUGCACAAUGGGCGCAAGCCUGAUGCAGCCAUGCCGCGUGUAUGAAGAAGGCCUUCGGGUUGUAAAGUACUUUCAGUCGUGAGGAAGGUUCAUGCGUUAAUAGCGUAUGGAUUUGACGUUAGCGACAGAAGAAGCACCGGCUAACUCCGUGCCAGCAGCCGCGGUAAUACGGAGGGUGCGAGCGUUAAUCGGAAUUACUGGGCGUAAAGCGCAUGCAGGUGGUUAGUUAAGUCAGAUGUGAAAGCCCGGGGCUCAACCUCGGAAUUGCAUUUGAAACUGGCUGACUAGAGUACUGUAGAGGGGGGUAGAAUUUCAGGUGUAGCGGUGAAAUGCGUAGAGAUCUGAAGGAAUACCGGUGGCGAAGGCGGCCCCCUGGACAGAUACUGACACUCAGAUGCGAAAGCGUGGGGAGCAAACAGGAUUAGAUACCCUGGUAGGAUAGCG
Molecule: ribosomal RNA, 473 nt
Filed under: uncultured bacterium
Lineage: Bacteria
Description: bacterial SSU rRNA
Rfam family: Bacterial small subunit ribosomal RNA
Source: RNAcentral